Molecule: transfer RNA, 77 nt
Filed under: Thermotogota bacterium
Lineage: Bacteria; Thermotogati; Thermotogota
Description: Thermotogae bacterium (oil production facility metagenome) tRNA-Pro
Rfam family: tRNA
About the family: Transfer RNA (tRNA) molecules are approximately 80 nucleotides in length. Their secondary structure includes four short double-helical elements and three loops (D, anti-codon, and T loops).
Source: RNAcentral
CGGGGCGUAGCGCAGAUGGUAAGCGCGCCUGCCUUGGGAGCAGGAGGUCGCUGGUUCGAGUCCAGUCGCCCCGACCA